GUAGCAGACAUUUUUUGUUUCGUUUUUUGAAUAAUUUUUCAAAAGAAAUUUUUUUCGUUUAAUUUUAUCGAUUGCUUUGGUGAUUUUUCGGGGAUUUCUCAAAAAAUAAAACAAAAUCUCAUAAGUGCUUUUGAACAUUGAAACGAAUGAUUGUAAUCAAUUCUAUAUUUUUUUGUCUGUAAUUUCUUGAAACCGGCGAUGCAAUUAAUUUCUUAAACCCAAUUUCAUUUGGACAAUAAAUUUUUUUAAAAUUUCGAUUUAGUGCCAACGAUCCGUUCGUUGUGGUGGAUAAAAUUGAUAGAGUUUUGCUUUCAAUUGGGGAAAAUCAAGAAAGUUGUUACGUAAUUAUGGGAAAUCCUUCCAUGACCAUGAAAAUAACGAUUACUAUUUGUUCGGCUGUGAUUUUGGUUGGAAAUGUAUGCUGCCAUCAAGCGAUGCAACGAUUUCGUGUGUCAACCGGAACAAUGUCACAAUUACAAGCACAUUUUCAUCAUCAUCAUUCGCAUACACAUUCCAAUUGCGCGCAAAUACAAAUACCUUUCUUGAUGAGCCUACCGUCAAAGUGUCACUACAGGCAAGUUAACAACGACUUUCGUAAGCUAAUGCAAUUUUAUUUCCAUUUUCAAUGCAUUUUGAUUGAACUUUUUAUCUUCUCAUUGUUAGUUUCAAUUCGUUGUGUUUGUUUUUUUCUGUCUCGUUUUUUUCCUCUGUCUUCUUCCAUUUCUGUUGACGUGUGCACACAUGCAGUUCUUUUUCUCUCUCACCAAUUCUAAAUGUCAUUCAGCCUGUGGCAGUCUGUCUCCGCUCAUGAUUCACUCGGCAGUUUGUAUCGAAAUUGAAUGAAAUAGAUAGAAGAAUAUGUGUCAGUUGCACUUGAAAAUAAUUAAAUUUAUGAUAGUGUGGCUUCAGUGUAGCACAACGAGCAACGAAAAAAAAAACAAACGCUAUAGAAAAAAGAUGAUAUACCACUAAGUGUGCACACUGCACAGUGUUGUUUGUUCAGCAAAUACAAUGUUCACCAUUGAAUUGAAAUUGCAAACUUUAAAUCGAUGCACGAGCAACGACUGAGUCAAAGCAACCCAUGCACAUCGUUUACGUAAACAGUGUGCUAGUACCGUUUUGUCUGAUCGGUUUUAUGUUGUUCGAUUGAAGCAAACAAAACUAAAAUAACAAUCUUCUGAUUAUGCUCUCUUUUGCUGCGGCAGCAGACAUCGCAAAUCCAAGUAGAAUCAAGUUUUCUGCAUGAAUAUCAAAAUGAAAUGCGACAUUUCUGCCUCUUGUAUAAACAAGCACACACUCGCUCAAAGUGUUGAAUUACCUGUAAAUCUUUUCUUAGAAAUUGUGAAAUCGACCAAACAACAUUUCUUCGCAACACUAUCAAAGCCAUAAUUCAUACAAAUUAUUGACGGCAUUCUCAAAUAUUUAUAUCGUUUAUGGCGGCUUUCAAUCGGCAUAAAUAAACGCUAUUAAUACAUUUGCCUUUGAUUAUAUUUAUAUUUUAUUGAUGAUAUACGCAGCCAUCCACAAUGUGGAUAAACAUUUCAAAUGAUUUCGAUAUAAGCAUAGUUUAUACUGGUGCUAUUCGUUUUGUCUUUUGUCAAAAAAAAGAGAAGAAGAUUGCUUUCAAUUGCUUUCCAUUCGUCAUCAAUUAAAACGCAAAUGUUAGCGAAUCUUUCCGACGAAUAAUAAUCAAUUCCAAGAAGCGCUUAAUUGAAAAGGCUCCUAUGAAACAAAAAAACGAAAACAAAAACGGGCGGCAAUUAUUAUUAAAUUUUUUCCAGUCGAUUGACAAAAAAAAUUGGCAGUUGAUGCAGAAAAUCUCGGCGGUUUUUCGCUAAAAAUAAACAAUCGCAACUCGUUAUCCAAACGAGUUUAAGUAUUAUACAAUGCAUGCCGGUUAUGUAAGUGGUAUGUUUUUCCUCUUGGUUAUGGGAAAAUCAAGGCUUUUUCUGUUGAUAAUGGUGCGACCGUCAUAAGACCGACUUUGUUUUUGUUUUUGCUAUAAUAAUUUGCGUCACAUGAUCCAAUCCAAUCCUUGCCACAUACUCAUACAUUUGCAUUGCAGCAGAUGGUGGCGUCGGCGCAUUCGCUUACUGCUUGAACUUUUUCCAGACCAUGCAACCACACAUAAUCACACACACACAUACAUACACAAAAGCCCUGUGCAAAAUCCAAUUCUGCGCCAAUUUUGAAAAAUAAACUAAAGUCGAUUUUCUGUCGAUUUGUGCAAAAUUCCUACCAUUCACCCCAUCUCAAUAUAAUGAUCAAAUGGUUGAUGACAUAAAGCGAUAGGAGAAGGUUGAAACAAUUUGAUCUAGUCGUUAUCGGCUACGUUUUGAAUGGGAUCUAUUCAGCUAUUUGAAUAAGUGUGAGUGAAAGGUAGAGAUAGAAUGCACUUCUGGCAAUAAUCAAAGGAUUUGUUAUGCGGCACCAUAUGGUCUGAUGUUCGGUGGUGAUAGCAAGAAUAAGACGAAUUCAAGGUUGGUCAAGUGGACGAUAUGUAUGGACAGAGACAGAGAGGGAGAGUGCGAGAAAGAGAUAGAGCAAAAGGGAGAAGGAGAGAGAGGGAGAGUGCACUUUGAAUCGAUUUCGGAGAGCAUCUCUCAUGUGGAUGAAAACCCAUUACAUAACUGUUGCAUAAUAGAUGUCGACGCUCUCGCAUUCUUUCGCAUAUCAAAUGCGACAAAACUGAAAUGAAAAUGUUGAAAAUCUCUUUGAUAGAUUUUUCUGCUGCUGAAUAUUCAUUUUUAAAAUCACACUUCCACUUCAAUAAUGUAGAGGAGCUUGUGCGUGUAUUUUUGUUUAUUCGGUUGAAGAAAGCAAAAGAAAGAACUUUUCCGACUGCCGCUAUUGGUGUGCCGCUUAUUAUGUAACUCGUCGGUUGUAGUUUUUAUUUUCACAAUUUCAACAGCGCCUGAUGAGAAGUGAACGUAACAAAGAAAAGAGAAGGUCAGUAGAAAAACGUUGAAAAAACGUGCCAAAACAGCAAAAAUUUUGUCAUUUUCGGCUGAAUUUCCGGUUUGGCGUGAUGACAAAAAUCUUCUGCUGGUGAUGGAUCGUUGAAAACAGAUGAAAAUAAUUGCUAAUGGCCGUCAUAUACAGCUUAAUCUGCCAUCGACCUAAACGAAAAAAAAACCGCUGUGUAGCAAAGAAAAAUAUCCACGAUAAACAAAUUCACGAUGAACUUUUGAAUCUUUUGUUUGUUUUUUUUUUAAAUAUUUUCCACAAAAUAUAUUCGUUUACGUUACGAAACACCGUGUGUGACGAUAUGAAUAAACAAAUCACACCCACACCCGUUUUAAAUCAUAUGAUUUGAGAUGCUGGUAAAAAUCUUACGACCGUUGUCAGUUUUGCCCAAAACGAAAAGCAAAAACGAAAAUAAUUUGGAAAUUUUCCAACCGAACAGUUGAUAACAAACACAUUGGCUUUAUUUAUUUUUAUAUCGAAAUUGAUGAAAAAAACAAACCACAUCUAGUGUUUUAUUAUUCAAUAUCUUCGGGAAAAAGAAUAAUCAAGUUUUUCAGCGUUAAUGAAUGAACAACUUCAUCAAAUUUCCAAUAAGUGUGGAAAUCAUGACACAUGGCAGGUGUCCAAAGUCUGAAUAUUUGAUGAGAAAACCCCAAAAUAACUAUAUUUUUUUCCUAAAGUUUUGAAUAAUUUAUGGCUGUUUUGAAGAAGAAAAAAAAAACGAAAUUCUGAUUGUUUUCAAAGACACUUGAAACGUUCUAUAUCUUGAAGUGGAUUGAAUUUUCAAAAGCAAGUGAUUUUAUCGCUUCGUCGAAAAUCAAUCAGCGCAAGACAACUAUCGUGACCCAUCAAGCGAGUCCUCGAGUUUGAAUGAGUGAUCGAACAUAAUGAAUUCGACUGAAAUGAACUUGAACUUAAGCCAUACACUAAUUCAUUUACUGUCAAUCGAUAAGUAGUGUAACACUACACAAAACCCAUUAAAUCAUGUACGAACAAGAAAAAAAAACCACACCACAGGACACGUCAAACAGAGAAAAUCGAGAAAAAAGAAAUGUGAAAAAAAUAAUUAUCGUUCGUUAACCGUUUACCGCGCACUUUUUCUUUAUGAAAAUGUAUAGGGGAAAUGAAUUGUAAAUGAGUCUCAAAUAGAAUGAAGUGAAGCUGAAAAGUCGAAAAUGAAGCAUUUUCACAUUAAUGCGACAAAGGAGUCAUUUUUCAGCUGUUCGAGACACAACGCUAAAGAGCAUUUUUAUUAGAUGUGGCAAAUGCCCGGGCCAAAUUGCAACAUUCGAAAUACCUUAAAAUAUCAUCGGUUUGGUGCGGUAUCGGUUGUUCUUGUUGUUGUUUUUGUUCGCGUGAUUCGGUCGAUUCACGAAACCGUCUACCGGCUAACAAACGACUGAAAAUACACAUACACACACAAAUCGCUUUUAUGAGAUUUUAAUGAUGAACCGAAAAUAGUUCAAAAACCGGCUAGCUGCUACACAUUAUGAAUACCAUUUUCCAUUUAACGAUUUUCUCCGUUUUCCAUUUCCCACCCAUUUCGUCGCAUGUUCGUUCAAAUGGUUCACAAUAGUUGUGGAAUCGUUUUUGCAUCGUUGUUUCAAACGAUCAACUGCAUAACGAAUUUAGUGAAGUAAUAAAAAACAAUCAAUAAAUCGGAAUUUCCGAUGCUAAAUAAUUAAUGGGAAUCCUUGUGGAUUUUUCCAAAUGUACGUUAAAUUUUCGUUCACAUGCCGAAUUAUUGAACUGUCAAUCGAUUAGGCAGCAUUAACCGUAUAGUAUUUCCUUUUCAAAAUUGUCAACGCCCAUCGAAUUAAAAGCGAAACCAAGCAGUAAUGCAUUUAUGUCAUAUGUAUGUUGGUAAAUCGACGAAAAAUUGGUAAAAUUACCAAUUUGAGUUCGUGUCUAUUUCAAAGGCAUAAAACCCAGAUUGAGUGUGUGUGUGUGCUGCACAUACACAAUAUCGCUAUAAAUUACUAUGUUCAUGCGCUUGUUGUAAUGAAAAUAAAAGCUUCAGUAAGAAGCUGUUUCACUUUUUAGCCAUUUCCACCGCGUCUACUACAUGCAUCGGAUAGGUGAUUUAUUUUUAACUUUGAUUUCGGUGCUCUUCUUCAUCACUCGUUGUUUAUGUGUAGUUUUUUUUUCGAUCGCUCGUCAAAGGCCGUCUAGCGAAUUUAAAUGUUUCAAAUGCGACAAACGAGACAUUUGAUAUCUCGUUUCAAAUGUGCAACAUAAUACACACACAUAUAAUCGCCCCCCGAUUAAAAACCGCGAUGCGAUGUCACAUUUUAUUCGUCAAAUUAAACAAACGAAGUGAAUACAAUUCAAUUUUGAAUCACAUUUAAUGCCAAUAAUUGUGUAAAGCGUAGACCAAAAUGAAGAGCAUAUUGAAAAAAAUCAACCAGACAAAUUCAAGCAAACACACAAACCAUAUGUAUUUUUAGCAAACGGAAUACAAGAGCAACACAGUAUACUGUUGUGCAGGAUGCACACAAUACACCGUUUGAUUACACACACUCGAAAUGAGAUCAACCGUUGAGAUAAAAAUCAAUAACAAUUCGACUAAUGCAACAGUGCAAAUUGCUUUGUUAUUGCAUCAAUAAACAUAGGAUUGCACAAUACAAGGCCAAAAUAUCAUUAUUCUCAAGCAAUCAAUAAAUUCAGUAGAAAAAAAAGUAAAUAAAAAGGCCCCCAGACAUUCCUUUUGAUUUUCUCAUCUCGAUGUAAUGCUGGCGGCUACUCACAUUUCUGAGAAAUAUUCGAAUAUCGCAUGUAAUUGAAAAUAGUUUAGAAUUGAAAAAACCAUGCUACACGCAUCAAAUGAGAACAAAUCAAAUGAAAUGCGUGAGUUAUCCGUACAAUGAUGACAACAAAAAAACACAGUGCGUUUCGUUUUGCCCGCAUUGAUAUGCGGAUUUUGUGAGUGUGUGUUUGUGUGUGUGGACAAAGAGGCUAACAAUCGAGGGAGAAUGAGACAGCAAGAUGCUGACAGAUCUAAGCCAAGCCAAUUGCACGCAAACCGACAACGACGAAGGAAGAAUUUCAUUUAAAUUAAUUGAACAAUUUGGUUCAUUUUACGUCUUUGAAAUGCAAAUAUUGAGCAAGAGCGAGAAGGUUUAUUCGCGCGCACAUCCGUUGUGAUGGAAUUAAUUUUCGGCAUUUCUGCGGAAUAUAAUGAAAAAUAUGUUUUACAAUUAGUUAGAAGAGCUCAAAAUCGAUUGAAAAAAGCGACACGAUCUCGGCUUCAAUUGACCGUAAAUUUAGCUUGAUUUUCCAUUGCUUAGUCAAAUAAUAUUUUAUAUUUUUGAUUGCGGCUUUACAAACU
This is a long non-coding RNA of Sitodiplosis mosellana (orange wheat blossom midge), 6295 nucleotides long. RefSeq lists it as uncharacterized. The record is from RefSeq and is a predicted model, not a curated record. The transcript has 2 exons. NCBI's taxonomy places the organism in Eukaryota, Metazoa, Arthropoda, Insecta, Diptera, Cecidomyiidae.